RNAcentral lists this small RNA (12659 nucleotides) under Rattus norvegicus (Norway rat). Its description in RNAcentral is "X inactive specific transcript (Xist)". The stretch from base 4815 to 4940 matches the Rfam family "X-chromosome inactivation gene exon 4". Lineage: Eukaryota; Metazoa; Chordata; Mammalia; Rodentia; Muridae. The record is from RNAcentral.
UUAAAGGGCGUACUAUAUACUUACUGUUUGAAUGCUGGCACGGGUGCUGUCCCCAGUCACAUCUUUUUAACUGAUGGAAUACAUUCAUUUGUUCAUGAUAUUGUAUACUAGUCCCAUAGGCUCUCCUUAUUUCGGUUAAAAACCUUCUGCCCUGGGGACAGAUGGAUAUAUUUAUGGAUGAUCCUGAAUCUUUUUUCAAGGUCCUAAUACUACCUCUGCUUUAUGUCAAGAGUGUUGCUGAUUACCUGAAGCCUCUUAUACAAUUGUGCAAAACUGCCGUUGCUCAAGUUCCUUCUGUUACUAACCAAGAUCCCAUACCCUCAUACCCUAAUGGGUGACAAUAAAGGGUGCCAAUCAAUAAGACCACUUCUCUGUUCUGGUCUUUUUUGCUGUACUGGGGAUCAAACCUAGAGUCUUGGGCAUGCUAGUAAAGCACUUUGUCAUAGAGCUACAGCUCCACCAUGUGGUGGUUUGAGAGAAUAGUCUCUUACGUAUCCUGGGCUGGGCAGGUACUCAAUCCUCCUGCUUCUCAGUCCCAGUUACGGGAAUUUCGGGCAUUGCCACCUGUAAUGUAAACAUAUGUGCCUGUUUCUGUGCGCAGAGCUGCAUUUGUCCCUCUUCCCAAGCACUGGAUAAAGGAAACCAAACUAAGUCAUUUCAUUUGUAUUCAAGACCUUUGAACCCAGAUCAAUCUGUUCUGUUUUUAAUUCUCAGGCUAGCCCAGAACUUAAUAUAUAUAUAGAUCCCAGGCUGGCCUUGAGCUCAGGAUCUAGCCUGUGCUUCAUAAGUGUUGGCAUAACCGAUUUCUACCACUAUGCCAUGGAGUCUUUGACGUGCAUACUUCAUUUCGCUGUAGUAAUCUGAGUCUGGUAAAGACCUUACCUUACUUGUAUUAUGGCAGGAGGGGCUCAGUCCUUAAGAUCCUUAACAUAGUAAAUGUGCUUGUGUUCACUGUCUUGUACAUAUUCUCAUGUCCACAGCUGAGCCUUUUAGAUCAGGACUCCUGGACUUAUCAAAGUGAAAGGGCUCGCUAAUAUAAAGCCUCUUUCAUGAGACCACAGAUUGAAACGAUUGCAAUACUGUCAAUGGUCCUUCAAGGUAAGACUUCUGUCUCUGAUCAUUCAUAUCCUCUUGGCUUUAUGGAACUGUGUGCUGUUCACUUGAAACCCCUUUCUCAAACUGCUUGUGUACAUACUGGCAAUUUUAGUAGGAUCAGUUUGGCACUCACGUUGAAGUACAGAAGUGGUGUUGACCUAUAAGGUCCCCUUUUGUGGCUUGCUAAUAAUGACUGAUUGUAGUGGUCCUUUUCUGUUUACUACAGAAGGAAAUCACUCUCUGCCUUUAUGUCUUGUGCCUUUCCCUUUCAGCAGGGAAUGCGCAUUGUCAAAGACCCUUAUGUUUGAACAGCAAAAGUGCAAAACUGUCAUGGCCACAAGCAUGAGCCUUGCAUAUUAGUGUGCGUUAACUGCACCCGGCUCAUUCAGUUUGGAUAUGAUCCUACUCUCAAACCCUUUUGCGGUACAGCAAGGGUUACUAAUCUUAUGGCUUCUUCAUCUUCCUGGACACUGGGUAAGGAUAUCCCCUUCCUUUCCAUUCUUUAAUUUCCAGGACUGUCUAUUACUUUAAGGACUUAAUAUCUGCAUAAAGGGUGUGGUUUUAAUUGAUUACACGAUGUCCCUUGAACAUUAAUAUACAUGACAGGGACAUGAUCAAUUCAUUUUAAUAAAAAUACUUGGGCACUUAAUGUGUAAAAUCACAGUUGUCCACAACCUUAUUAACUUUCAGGACCACUGUAUCUCUUUUGCACUACUGCAAGGGAUACUAUACUUUUUAUCCCCCCAAGGUUCCCGCUAGUGGACCAUUAAUAUACAGCGAAUUUUCCUUUGUCUUUGCCAGUAGACAAGGGUGAGCCCUUCACCUUUCAUUUGCAGUAUAUCAGGGUCUACUGAUCAAGCAAGGCUGCGGACUGUCAUCAUAGGUUAUGUCUGCAUAUGCACUGCCUCCUGCUCUGUGCACUGGACAAGGAUCCCGCUCACACCACCACCUUCAGCAGGUGGUGUCUCUGCUCAAGACUUGUCAUUUGGAACGUUCACACGAACGAUGUCUAAGCACUUCUGUGAGAACUACUGUACCCUCUUCCCCGCUUUAAAGCAGAAAGGGGGCUCCACGAAGUGCUCUUUACUUGGACUUCAAAGUGCGUUAAUGCCAUUGUCCAGCACUACGUUUGGAGUAGGAUGCUACAUCCUUGCACUCCUUUGACCCCAGAGGCACGCUGGUUACUUCUGAGCACUUCUCUUGACAAUGUCAAUAUGUCCCCUUUCACAUCAUGGACCUGUAUGGCAGAAAAGGAUCUGAAAUGCCUACCUGUUGACUGGGGCUGCUGAGUGUAACUAUAACCUCAGCAUUUGGAUGAUUACUGAGCAAAAGUGUCAAGGACCUCUGUGCUGUCCUUCCAUACCAUCAAGGCUACUAACCAAGCUCCAUGAUUGUUAGUGUGAAUAAUUUAUGACUGCGUGCCUAGAAUCAGAUGUCCUCACAAGCCCCCUUUAUUAUUCAGACCUUGCUGAGCCACCUAAGACACCCGAGACUGUCUGUCCAUGAGCACAGUGACUGAUGAAUGGCUUGCUUUUUCUUCCUUAAACUUAUUUCGGGACUAUAAUAGGCACAAUGGCAGUUCUUGGUGGUAUUUUCUACUCUGACUUGUUGAGCAAACCCCCUUCUCUACUUUCCCAUUGAUAUAAUAAAGUAAAAUACAACACAACAGUACGUACACCCGACAGUGACCCAUAUUUGGACCCUUUUUUUUUGCACUGCUUUACUAAAUAAAAUUGUAAAUAGUCACAACCUCACACUUUAUAUUGUCUUCCUUUUGCCCGGCCCCUAGCUUGUCCAUGAACCACUCUUCUGGACUACUAAUUCUCAGAAACCCAUCAUUAAGGAAGAGUUUGUGCCCUUUCCCGAGCCCAUCACUCCAUCAUCCCUUUGGCCUCUUUGUUUACACCGUAUUGACUGAGUAAAGCCCUUCUCUUGACUUAAAGUCAACACCCCCAGAAGCCAUCAGUUUACUCCCUUCAUAUGGCUGCAAUGCUUCAGUUGCAUUCUCCUUGGUCCCAUUGAACAGAGACACUUCCAGUUCUUGCAUUAUUCUGGGUGAUGUUAAUUGCCCAAAACACCCUAUUUUCUAUUAAUAAACUUGCACGUAUUUAUUUAUACACCGAAUAGCAAAAGCAGGCCAAAACUAGGUGGAUGAGCCUUCUUUAACUUGCAUUUCUAAAAUUACUCCAAUUCCAAUCGCUGGCACAUUCUAGGGCCAGGAACCAGUCUUGCCUACCAUUAUUAAUGCUUUAUUGUGCAAAAUAUUUGAGGCAAGGUGCUCUGGGAGUUGGAUCGCCACCUUUUAUUUGGGGCUUUCCUUAUAUAGUAUCAACAGAAAAAUUGUCUCCCACAGAAAGAAGUUUAGCACUUUUCUCUCCAUUCUUCCUCCAGGAGCUUAAGAAACUUUAAACUCGGCUUUUGUAUAUUGCUGCUUGCUAUUGUACAGUACCAACUGCCAGAAAAGUUAUUGAUAGCUUUACAUUUUAAGAAAGGCAUUUGAGUUGCAAGGUGGAUUGAUUGUGUGUGAUCAUUAGCUUUUCUCAAGUAAAAAUAGCCGUUUGUAUUAUAGCUGAUGACUAAGUGGUCAGUGUGCUGAGGGCGGUGAGUCUGUGCAUAGAUAGAGCACUGCAAUACUGCAGAAUGUUUAAGACAAGCGUCUUUGCUUGGUCUGUUCUGCAAGCUUAAAAAGUCAAAAAUCAAUCUUUGUGUGGCCUUUAGUAUGAUUAAUUUUUAGGAAGACGACCUAAUCUUUAUAUUUUGUCUGACAUUGUUCACCAGCCCCUACUUGUUUUUAAAAGGUGGCUGUGGAAGAAUUAAAUUCGAGAACAUGUCAAGUCGCCUUCGAAAAUUAUAAGCCACAUUUAAUUUAUUCUAUCCACCAUUAAAUUCUGGCAGUAAUUUGAAGUGGCUUGAAAUAAACCACCAUAAAGUGGGAAGUUAGAGAGCUGUUUCCCCACUUUACAUUUUAAAAUAUGUAUGCCAGGAUCUAAUCAUUCCUUUAAGUGUACACUUCAAGGAGAGAUGUGCCGAAUAAGAAAAUAGCUUUCUCUAGCGUGAAGGGUUUUGCGUCCGCCGAGUUCUUAAGGUCUUUUUUAAGAGCUACUGUGUAUGAGUGUGUGUAUGUGUGCGCAUGCAUGUUCCUGCGACUAGUCAUUCAUUCACAUGGUGAUCAGACAACAAUGGGAGCUGGUUCGUCUACCUUAUCUUGUGGGUCCUGGAGUUCAAUCUCAGAUCAUCAGGCUGGGCAGCAAGUGCCUUCACCCUCCGAGCCAUCUUGCCAUCCCACAGCUGAGCGUCUAAUAUGACAUUGCCGAUGAAAAUAGUCAUCACAACAGCAGUUCUUCAGCAUUACUGAAAAAAAAAAAGAUACUAUUUUUCUGAGAAGGAUAUCAAGCAACUCAUCCAGUUCAGGAUCCAGGUUGAACCACUGCUCUUCAGUUCCAUCAGACUCUGGCUGUUUAGAGUACAGGGUGAAUCUGGAGUUGGUUUUGUGCCCCUGCCUCAAGAAGGAUUGCCUGGAUUUAGAGGAGUGAAGAGUGCUGGAGAGUGCUGGUUGACUGAGAGUCUCUGCCCUUACGGGAACAAUCCUGAUGUGACACUCAGACAGACAGACUGCCAGCGGCUGAUACAGGCUACAUUCCAUUCCAGCAGCUCUUCCCUUCAAGCCCUAGCUAAUCUGAAGAAAAAGCUUACAGGCCACACAGAGGGGAAAAAAGAUUUCCCCCAGAGUCUGGGCUUGGUGCUUUGCAGUGCUGGCGACCUAUUCCCUUUGACGAUCCCUAGGUGGAGAUGGGGCAUGAGGAUCCUCCAGGGGAAUAGCUCACCGCCACUGGGCAACAGGCCUAGCCCCGAUUUCAGUGAGACACUUUCCAGAACCCAGCAAGGAAGACAAAGGCUCAAAGACAGCUAGCCACCCUACAUCAAAAUAGGACAAAAGCUGCCACAAUAGUGGCACCGACCUCAGGAGGAAGCCAUUCUGCUCUAUUUGGUUCUCCCUGGAAGCUAGGAGAAUGUGGCCAGCUGUUUACACACUUCAAGAUGCACUCUGCUACCCUACCUGUAAUACACAAUGCCAUCUACCAAAUAUCACCCUUCCCCAAAGCAGCACAGAAAACUGAACCUUCAGCACGAUCAAGAAAUGUAAACACAUGGAAGAACGCCAGCUUUACAUACGACCAGAGGAUCAACAUGUCUGACUUAGCAUCUUAAGGGCAACAGACUGAGUGUGUUGUGUUUUGCGUCCUUCUUGUUUUGUGUACCUGUUUCUUCCUUGCUCUGUGUGUUCAAUUUUUUGUUUUAUCUAUUUCUUCCUUGUCUUAUUUAUCUCUUCCUUGCUCGGUGUCUAAUCCUUUGCUACAUCUAUGCCUUCUGUGUGCUUUGUGUGCCUGUCUUCCUUGCUUCGUGGAUCUAUUUCCUUGUGAUUCUACUCCUUUGUCACCUCUAUUUCUUCCUUGCUUUGUGUGUCCAUGUCUUUCGUGUUUUAUGUAUCUACUUCCUCCUCGUGUGUCUAAUUCUUUGUUACAUCUAUUUCUUCCUUGCUUUGUGUGUCUAUAUAUAUAUAUCUUCCUUGUUUUAUGUAUCUACUUCCUCCUUCUAAUCUUUGUCACCUCUAUUUCUUCCUUGCUUUGUGUGUCCAUGUCUUCCUUGUUUUAUGUAUCUACUUCCUCCUCGUGUGUCCAAUUCUUUGUUACAUCUAUUUCUUCCUUGCUUUGUGUGUCCAUGUCUUUCGUGUUUUAUGUAUCUACUUCCUCCUCGUGUGUCUAAUUCUUUGUUACAUCUAUUUCUUCCUUGCUUUGUGUGUCCAUGUCUUCCUUGUUUUAUGUAUCUACUUCCUCCUUCUAAUCUUUGUCACCUCUAUUUCUUCCUUGCUUUGUGUGUCCAUGUCUUCCUUGUUUUAUGUAUCUACUUCCUCGUGUGUCUAAUUCUUUGUUACAUCUAUUUCUUCCUUACUUUGUGUGUCUAAGUCUUCCUUGUUUUAUGUACCUACUUCCUUGUUUUACGUAUGUAUUUCUCCUUUGCGUUGUGUGUCGUAAGUGUCUUCUCUGUCUGCACUGUCUCACCUAUCCCCACGUUUCUCUUGCAUGUUUUUCUUGUAGAGCUUUGAGCUUUGUUAUAUUUUCUCUGGUGCCUAUGGGGUCUGCCUUGUCUUAAUGAGCUGUGGUUUUCUGUUUUUUCUAUCUGUUUGCUAGUUCUCUUAGCUCUCUUUCACUCCUGUCUUUCCUGACUCGCCUUUGGGUCACAUGUUGUAUGCAUGUGUCUUUUUCUUGUGCUCACCCCACUUGUUCUUUGUGCCAGUUCUGUUUGUCAGUCCUUCGACUCACCAUUUCACAUUUUUCUUUCUGCUGUUUUUCCAUCCUUAGCACUUUCUUGUUUACAUUUCCUUCCUGCCUUUAUUGGGCCACUUUCUCUUUUUUCAUCCUUUGUGUUUGUGUCUCUUUGCUGUUGGUGAUUUCUUAUCUCAGCAUGAUUCUGUUGCUUGUUUCCUUCUUUCUGUUCACUUUGAGCAUUUAUGUCUGUCUGUCUGUCUGUCUGUCUGUCUGUCUCUCUCUCUCUCUCUCGUAUUCUAAAGUAAUCCUCUCUUGGAUAUUUCUUUGUGUAUGUACAUAUGUGUGUGUGCAUGUGUGUCAUGUGUGACGGGCGUCAUAGCCCCUUCCCAAUAGGUCCAGAAUGUUACCUGUGGAGUCGUUCCUCACACCAGUCUGCCCUGCGAAAUAAUCUAAGACAAAAUACAUCAUUUCGUCUGUCCGGUCAGAAUUGAAGUGGAUCUGAAGUGAACACAUGUUAAAAAGCCCAAAGUGGAAGACAGAUGUUUUGUGACUUGGGACUUAAGGACCAAAGUACAUACAUGGCCCAUCUUGAGCUGGCUCGACAGAAUGCUGACAACUCAAAGGAGAGGGACUGUUUCUACAGGACGCCUGGGACGUCUAAGAACCAGGAGCUACAUCAUAAGACAGAAAACCUGAGCUAAGUCCAAGCAUAAAACCCGAGGACCCAAUCCUAUGUGGACAAAAUGUCUAAGAGAUAAAGGCCCAUGGCCCAGAACUUUGGAAGGAUAGAAAUCUCAAGAUCAAGAAGAUGAGGCCCCCAACCCCAGCACCCUUUCCAUUUCUUAUAUUUCUAUUUAAGCUGGCUUCCCUUGAGGAUGUAAUUUUCAUUGUUGUCAUUCCCCAUAAAGGAAUAUAUUGUUAGGUUGAUAGUAUUGUGCAGGGGUCUGUUUUAAACUUGAUCUUAGCCAUUUGUUAAAUUUUUGAUGUUUUAACUUCCAUUUCUCUUCACAUCUGCUCCACUUGAGACAAGAGAACAAAAUCCAGUCAGUAUAUAUAUAUAUAUAGAUAUAGUCUGACUUUUGCUAUUCCCUGAGGAUACAGAUACCCAUACAGAUACUGUGCUUCCACUCUCCCUCUCUCAGAAGCCCUAGGCUGACAAGACAAGGAAAACAUCAGGCUGUUAGGGGAAAACAAUGUCAGGCUAUCUAGAGAAAAUAUGAAGAGUUGUUCCAGACCAGUGAGAAGAAUUAGACGAGCAAUAUGCAGAUGUGCCAACCUUCUGAGAAGCACCAGCCAACAUCACCUUCCUUCUUUGGGCUUAGGUGAGCAGGGCGUGGAAUUUCUAAUAAUGGUUUGGGGACAAAAUGAGGUCUGAACCCCCUGCUCAUAGUAGUGGCCGAGUAAUUUGACGUAUUUCAUCAAAAGAAAUCCUGGGUUUAACACUCACCUUUAGGCUUAAUGAUGAGAGAAUCUGGGGACUACUUAACAGGCUUAAUUUUUAUCGUGCCUUCCUCUUCCCCUGUAAGGGGAAGUCAACUUAAAGACAUACAGUGAAAAACUAACAUGCUGACAGCACAUUGGCAAUCAUGCAUAGCGAGCAUCUGAAAUCAUGAUUUGAGUUUUCCUAUAAGGCAGGCAUAAGACUGUAAGUACCUGAGGUUUUGUGGGCCACUGGUCUCAGUUGCAUAUUUUUCUUUUUAAAAAACACCUUUUCAAAAGGCAAGAGUCACCCACUGACUGGCCCAUUGCCGGUACUUGCUUAAGCCCUCAUAUAAAUAAAUGCCAUUUAUAUGUCUGAGUAACAUUAAUUUCCUUCUUUAUGCAUAUUUUUAUGCUGAGUACUUGGGAUGUGAUGUUUAACUGUGGUCACUCCCGGUAACAAGAUCUUACCAGGUAACCUGAAAAUGUAUGAAUACGUAAACCAUGAAGCACAUGACAACUUCCAAGUCAGUGUUGACUAUGAGUGUGUAUUAUAUAGUAGCCGAAUUCUACAGUUCUAUGUGCUUUAGGCACAAAGAUUGCUGUAGGAAUAACGAAUAAAAACAUAUAAACUUAAUGAGGCUUGAAUGAAGGAUACCCCAUCUACUUAAGGGCAGUGUGUUUCUUCUACUGCUCUGGUGAGGCUCAGUAAGUUGUAUUAUACCGGGUAGCAGAAGAGAAAGCACACGGAAACUGAGUUUUAAACUACAAAAUAGGUCACAGAUACAGGUGAUUGGUUACCCUAUUCGGAUCACCGUCUAAUUUCCAAAUACCAUGUUCAUUCAGCACUGGAGAUAAUAACAAAGAGGGACAUUACACAGAAGUAAAAUUUAUGAAAGAAUGUGUUCAAGUGCUUUGUAAAAUAAAGCAUUGUACAGUUAUUAAUUGCUCCCUGUGUGCAGAUGAAUGAAUGCUACCUAACCUCGUGUAUCAGGAAUUGUUUUGGGUGCAUGAAAUAUUCAUGAGUAAGUGUCAUGAAUUGUUUGCACCCCGUAGUAUUCAUUUACAAGGAAUGAGAUAAUGCUUAACGCUUAAUUUAACCAGUCAAGACUUUAGUGAUGAGGGCAUGGUAAUACAUGUCAUGGAGAAACACGUUAUCACUGUGUACUUUAAGGCAGUUCACAAGUGUAAGACGUGACACACUUUCUAUAGAAAUAAAGCUGCCUAUAAAAUAGGCGUGGUCUACAAACUUUUCAUUGUAUUUUUUUUGGCCCACAAUGAGAAUAGUAGAAAUAGUUAACACACUGGGAGUGCUAGCAUAUGCUCUGAGCUCAAAGUAGCUGAAGCAGCAGGACCACUUGAGCCCAGAAAUGAGGCCAGCCUCAAUGAGAUCAAUCUCAAACCUAGAGGCAAAAUAUUGUCUACUAAAUAUAUACUCUCUUUUAUGGGUGCUAGAGAGAUACACGGACUUACAUUUCAUUGUGUCCACAGCUAAGAGUAAUAUAUAUUGGCAUUUUAUGAACUCUGAGGUACCAUAUAACAAUUCAUUUUCUUAUUUGGUGCCAAUUUCCAGGCUUUUAAAAUUCUGCCACAUUUAUUAUACUGUGAAAAUAAAAUAAAUAGGUGACUGUGGAACACUGAAUAUAUGAGGCAUUCAGCAUUUGAUGACUACCGCACUGAAUGGCAAUCAUUUAUUAUAAAACAGUGCCCUUGCUAGGCAUUGGGAUGCGAAGACCAUUCUUAAUGUCCUGUGUAUCUAAAGAAAUUGUAUACAAGAUUAAUUUAUAAUUUGUAAGCUGCCAUAUAAUGCAAUGUUUGCCUAGUGAGCAAUGACUACUUGCUUUUAUCCCCAGACAUGGCACCUGGAAAUACAAAAAUUCAUUACCAUUAUUAAUCCACAACAGAGAUCUGUGUGGCGCUUUAUGAAGUCUACAGUUCUAUAAAGUCAGGACUUAACCGUUGGCUUUAUCAGGGAACACUGAUUACUUUCUAAGUUUCAUAAUGGUUGAAUGCUUAUCACCCAAAGGCACCUAAUAAUAAUUUUACUGUGCUAUGUGUUGAGUGAACCAAGAUUGCUUUGUAGCAUUAUGUAGUACUCACAGGAAUAAAAUCUAGACCAAAGCCUCAUUUCACUUCAGUGAGGAAAUGAAAACAGAAAAAAAAAAAUGGAUUUGUAUAAGGCAGUGUGCUAAGUGUUGCCCUAAAUGGGCUAUCCUGUCUAGAAGGAUGCUUCCCGGUGGGCUUGACUGAGGAGAUGGAAAUUUACCAAUGAGAGGUACUUUUUCUUAAAUGUUGAAUGCUGCUGCUGGAGAUGAAUUACAAACACCUUGCCAGUAAAGGUGUGACAAUAUAGGGUCAGAGUCAUGUAAUCCCAGAGCAUGGAUAUCAAUGAGGGAACAGAAAGGAAGGGGCCAGAGCAUCAGAUGCUACGUAUUUAGUGUGGUCUAGAACCUCUCAAAUUAGAAGUACCGGCUGGUACCAAGCAUGCAGAGCACAACAGCUAAUUAAAUAUGGUAACCUAGGUCCUAAAACUAAAGUGUCGGGUGGACCUAGUAUAUAUAUCACUGAUCAUAGAGGAGAUGGUCUCAUACAACCCAGGCUGGUUUUAAUUGGUGAAUCUUCUGUCACAGCUUCUCAAGUGCUGAGAUUACAGAUGUGUGCACUCAUGCCCAGCCUGUAGAAUGUAUCUGAUUACUGAGUGAAUAAUAGUUUUUAAAGAAUAUUUUAUGUAUGUUGAGUACACUGUUGCUGUGUUAUGACAUACCAGAAGAGGGCGCCAGAUCUAUUACAGAUGGUUGUGAGCCGCCAUGUGGUUGCUGGGAACUACACUCAGUACCUCUGGAAGAGCAGUCAGGGCUCUUAACCGCUGAGCCAUCUCUCCAGUCUCCGGAAUAAAUAUUUUAAAAUAAAUAUGUUAAUGGAUGUUUGCUUGAAGGUGCUAUGCUUGAUGGAUUAGUUAAAUAGGUGUGGCCUAGAAGACUCACUGACUGGUUUGGCGUAAAGAUUUUGAAAACUCAACAAAGGCCAAGAUUCCUUUAACAUAAAAUGGAGAUGUUCCUAGCUAAUUAAGGAAGCUCCAAAGGUCAUUUCCUCAUUGGCCUAGCUUGAAGCUAGGAUAAGAGGACUUAAGGUCUCUGCUUUAAUUCAUUACCGGCUCUCCUUUCCUUACAGUUGAAGUAUUUCAAAGGAGAAUCAAGACAAAUAAUUCUAAACAUAUUUGCUCAUUGCCUGGCUCAGAGACAUGUGAGCAAUAAGAAAAUACUGUCAUACUCACACUUUUAACCCGAGGGUGAGUAAAGUGCAGUUCUAAGUACUCAAAAGAACAAAGACAUUUAAAGGAUGUAAGCCAAAGUGUACUUUACCUCAGUAGUUCAUGAGGGGACUGCAGUAACACAAGAGACUACAGCUCUCACUUUAACUGGGGAGAAAAAAAAAAAUCAAGAUGUGGAGGAGGAGAGUUAAAUAAAAAUAAGUUGUUCUUCUUAUGGGCCUGCUUGGUAGAGUGGAAAUAAGAGAGGUUCUCUUUCCUCACUCAGUUCCACACAUUGCGGAAGAUGCUACUGGAUGCUAAGUGAAACACCUCUAUUCCAAAGGGCAGGCACUUAGUGUGACUUACAGAUGCCUCCCAAAGCAGAGAGAUGCUCUUUAUGAAAAAAAUAUUAGCUCAAACAUUUUCUAGCCUGAAGGACACUUGCCUUUGAUUGCCUCAUCUGUUCUACAAGCAUUUGCAUGUCUCUUCUUAAGCCUUCACUUGGCUCCUGAGACGUGAAAAUAAAGGAAGCAAACAGAUUUCGCUUCCCAGGGAGGUGCUGGAUUUUGGGGUCUGCUUUCUGGAUAGUGGCACAACUUAAUCCCCAAGUAAUAUGUAAUUAAGCCCUCGUCCUCAUCUCUUCUCCGGCCGCUGCAAUGAGUAGGAAGCUGGGUUUUGUAGCAAGUCUGACCCUAAAGUGACAAAAGCCCUCCAUGCAAAGGAGCUCAAUGUUCUAGCCCAAGUCCUAUUUUACCUAUGACUGUGACUACCAGUACCAGUCAGGAGGGAUGGCCAUGUAAAUUCCACAAUCUUAGCUCCUUUGCAUUAUCCUGUGGCAAACAACCUGUUUUCGAGCUGCAGCAGGUUAUGAAAUACAUUGGCCUGUGUUCAGCCUUUCACCUGUUUACAUGCUAAUGCAUGUAAAUUGCCUGACUGGGUCUCUUUCGUAAAGCAUCAGUUAGCACACAGUAAUUUUAGAAACGUUCUCCUUACUAGAAAGUGUAUAUAUUCAAGGCGGUUUGCAAUGGUAAAAUAAUGCCAGUAGAUGAAAAUAACAUUAAAGUUCAACAUGCUUGCAUAAAAUUUAAGCAUAAUAAAAUUGAAAAUUGGAGGAAAGGCCAAAUCGAAAGAACUUGGAAAAAACAAAACCCAAAAAUGCCUUCUACAGGAAGGACAGACUGCGCUUUGACCCUUUCGAUUUUUCUUUCACUCACAGAGGGUGGGACAGGAGGACGAGUGAAAGAAAGGGUCAAAGCUAUGUGGACUGCUUUGUUUUUAAUGCAGUUCCACAAAACUGGUAUUAAUUCGCUAAAUGUUUCUGAAAAUGUAUUUUCAUCUAAAUGGCUAUCAGCUAAGCCUUGAUGGGAAUGAAAUAUAUUAGUUCAAUCAAUGUGACCUCUUUAUCCAAGUUGCCUUAAAGCUGAAGUCACAAUUUGCUGUAAAGGUUCUUAUUCACUGUGGCUCACGCAUACUUUCAAAGUAUCUAGACUUUACUCAGCGAGCCAAUCACGAAAUCCUCAAACAGAGAAGGAAACACAAAAGGGACAGAAUAGAUGGAGCCAGUUCGAAGAGGUCUGGUAGUUCAAAAUAUCUUGCUUUUCAUUUUCAUUAAAAAUCUGGUAUCAGAA